GACGAACGCUGGCGGCGUGCUUAACACAUGCAAGUCGAACGAAGUGGCGAACGGGUGAGUAACGCGUAAUCAACCUGCCCUUCAUAGGGGUAUACCCGUUGUAAACGACUUCUAAUACCGCAUACUGAUGGAGGGGAUUGCGUCGGAUUAGCUAGUUGGAGGGGUAACGGCCCACUAAGGCGAGGAUCGGUCGCCUGUCUGAGAGGAUGAACGGCAACAGUGGGACUGAGACACGGCCCAGAAUCCUUCGGGAGGCAGCAGUGGGGAAUCUGCCGCAAUGGACGAAAGUCUGACGGAGCAACGCCGCGUGAGUGAUGACGGCCUUCGGGUUGUAAAGCUCUGUUAAUCGGGACGCGGUACCGGAAUAGAAAGCCACGGCUAACUACGUGCCAGCAGCCGCGGUAAUAC
RNAcentral lists this ribosomal RNA (408 nucleotides) under uncultured bacterium. RNAcentral's name for it is "partial 16S ribosomal RNA". It matches the Rfam family "Bacterial small subunit ribosomal RNA", at positions 28 to 526 of the family's 1533-position model. The record is from RNAcentral.